GGACUUGCCGGCGGUGCCUCCGAGGGCUCGCAGCGGUAACUCGAACACGCCGUAAUCGACUCCUGCGAACCGGCUCCCUCCUUCAGACAUUCCUCCUUGUCCAGGACGCGGUCUUGCUGAGCUAGGGCGCCUGGGGGACCAGGUAGGACCAGGAAGCCACUCCCGACCUUUGCCCGGCCGUCUCUGUCUUCACUCGGACUGCACUUUCUAAAGCUGCUCCGAGUUUCUCACGUUGAUGGGGGAAACAGCUGGGGAGCAGGGCUUUGCUGUGAGGGGAAAGGGUGGGCAGGGUAGAGGAACCUCUGCCCCCAAGGUGCCAAUAAAAUCCCCAUAAGAUUAGGUGGGAGCGUAUUUAUUGCUCAUCUGGGCUAGAAUUACCUUGACUGACAGCAAUUUCCUUAAUAACAAAAGCCUGUAAACAAAACGUCCUCGACCAGUGUCCCCUCCGUGCAGUGCCGGCAGCAGUGUCUCUCUUUGGGUCUCCAUGGGCUGCCCUAGCUGGGCACCCUACCUUGCAACGUCCCGUCUUCCCCCAUGAAGAACGCCUCCCCUGCUGGAGGGUGGGACCCAGCUAUUUAGAGCUGUCUGUUGCAGGAAGUCUGGGAGGUGACUCACUAAAGAGAAGCCCCAGUUAAAAGUGCUGAUGGGACUUGCUUCCUGCUGCCCCUGAUGGGCCCAGGCCAGGCGGAGAGAGAGGAAGCCAGGGAGCUGCCCUGUAAUCUGGGGCAGCGGUUCUGCGGAGAGACGUGUCCAGGCCUCACCCCCUGCGUUCUUACUCAGCCCGGGCUGGGUGCACCGGGUUCGGCUUGUCCGACGGUCUCUGCCUGGUGACGCUGCUGGGAUCCUCAGAGAAAGUCUUUGAGAAACUCUCAUUUGGGGAGGUCUGUAAAAAGGGAAAAGAGACCCUAACUCUGGAGAGACAGGCCUCUCCCACCCCGCGGUGGCUGGUGCCGGCCCAGGCCUGCCAAGAAGACAACUCACAAAGUCUAGAGCUGGAAGGGGGCCGCGCUGCCUGGUCUCAUCUGUUAUCCUCGAGGCCGCCUAGUGGCCAGGACGCGACACUGUGCCUCCAAGCUGCCCCAGCCUCCAGCCAACUUACCUUCCUUCCAGGUCUCCGAAGGCUCCUGAAGACCACAUAGCCCUGCCCUCCCCACACAGCCGCUGCUUUAUGGGGAGACUGAGGCACAGGAAUGUUAAGUAACCCAUACACACAGCAGUGUAACUCCCUGAUCCCCAGCCAGCUGCCCCCACCCUGCUCAGGUGCCGGACCAACCGGGUGACCACUGGGUCCUACCUAACGAUUUCCGCGGAGCGGGAAGGGGUCUGAGAACCCCAACUGCGACUCACUGCAUCACACCCCUCACACACAUCCUCACUGAAUCUCCUGCACAGCCCAGGUUGGUGGGUGCCCCUGCACCCAUUUCUCAGGAGGACACAGAGGCUCCGCAAAUCUAAGUAACUCAUGCAAGGCCACACAGGGGCUCCCCUUGCUUCCCCCAACCAUCUCGGUUUGGGCUGAACUCAGAGUGAAAAGGAAAGUGUCGGGCAGUGCUAACAGGAGGUGGGACUGGACUGUGGCCGGGAAGCAGACACCUUUUCUUCUACUGGUUCCCCUUCAGGAUGUGGGUUUGUGGGUCUGGCAUCCCUGUGAGCCCCCGGCCUCUCCGUCCCCAGCUGCUCCGCAGAGGGGCUGUCAUGUCCCUGAGCCCCCUCCAAGCUCUCCAGGAAGAUGAGGGCAAGGGGCACAAAGGGGGGCGGGGGGGGCAGGGAAGCAGGGACAGGGUGCACAGUUUGGCUGGCAGGCCAGCCUGGAGGGACCCUGUGGCCUGGCUUUAGCAAGAACUGCAGGGGACACGCCCCUCCCGCCCCUCCCCCCCUGCCCCCAUCCCAGGUCCUUUGCUCUUGGUAUCUCCUCCUCCCUUAGUUUCCUUUGGGGCAGGGGGCGGGGAAUGUAACUCCAGGGCGAAGUUUGAAAUUUCACAUUGCAGCCUGGGGAGAGGGCCCCACAGUCUGUCCCCCCUCCCCCCCCCAAAAAAAAGUGAAAGGAGCCUUUGUGGGCCUGAUGGAGGAGGGAGGGAGGGUACAGCCUGAGGAGCUAACUUUUUCCAUGACUCAGCUCUCCCAGCCCAGGGUGGGCGCUGGAGGUGGGAGGGCUCCACAGGGUGGGCGGAGCCGCCUCCUGGCCCCCGUCAGCCAGUGCCAGGAUUACAGGUGGGCCCCCGAGACAGCCACCCUUGCCGGAUGGGCCACCAGGCUGUCGCCAGUCCUCUCCCACCCCCCAUCCCCAGGGCCAAGCCCCAUCUUUUUAUUUUUUCUUACUGUUGCAACCCCAGUGCCGAAGACACCAAUGCUCACGUGCAGUUGUUUAACCGGGCCCUUUCCUAGUUACGGUCUCCGCUGAGAGCUGGACAGAUCCAUGGGUCUCAAGCCUCGCCUUCUACCUUCUACCUAUCCGGGGCCUGGAGAACUGAAAGUCACUCAAUGAUCACACAGCUAAGAGAUGGAGGUGGGCUUUGAACCGUGGCCGAACGCUCAGCUCUGUCUGCUUUAUGCUUGGGUUUCCCCCAGAACACACAGGAUCGAUCGCCCAGGGAGCUCCUCAAACAGGCAGGUCCCUGGGCUCCUGGCCUGGGCUUCUGGGACCAGCAUCCGGGGUGGGAGCAGUGGGGGAGCAGGAGUCCAAGGGCAGGUGGUUGUGCCAGAGCCUCCCAGUGCUGCCCAUCCGUGGCGCCUCCUCAUUUCCAUCCUGCACGCAGGCUUUCUUGCCCCUCUGACCACCCCCCCCGCCAGGAGCCAUCCCUCCUCUGCACUGAGUCCUCACUGUCCUGGGCUGGUGGCUCUCCUCAGCUCCACAGGCACCUAAUGGGGAAGAAAGAGGAAGCUGGAGGAGCUGGGGUGCCCUUCACUCACUCACCCCUUCAACCCAUCCGCCAGCCAGCCUCCAGCCCUCGACCUGGGCGGCCCCUGUAGGGGCAGACAGGCCACCGAGGCUGAGGCAAGACAGGUGGGAGGGGAGCGGAGCCGUGCGGGGUGAUUGUGUGGUCUGCAGUCAGCCGGCAGGAGCAGGGCUAGGACGCUGGGCCAGGUACAGAGGUCACCAGGGCGGAAAGCCCCGGGUGCCUAGCAACGGGCAGAACUGGGAAAGCAAGGACCUUGCUGCCCCGUGACCUUUCCUCCCCUAGUGUAUCGCUGGUCCUGUGGUUUAGGGCCCUGACCUUUCAUAAAUAUAACUGGUCACGUGGUCCAGACCCUCCCUGACCUUUCCUCCCCUGGCUUGUUGCCAGGCCUGUGGCAGACCUCCUCGGAGGAGGAACAAGGGGCCGGAGAGUGGCCUCGUGGGACUGGCAUGCGGGCCCCUGCACGACCACUCCCUUGAACAUCGACCCCUGGGGACGAGGCCUGAGCCUCGGAUGUGUGUCAGCCGCAGGCUCAGAAAAGCAGCAAAACCACACGGAACGACGCCCUGGUUGACAGACAUCAAUCAAGAUGUACAUUGACCAAUAACCUGUGGCCCUGGUGUGGACCAAUCAGUAGGGACCACGGCCCUGAAAGGACACUCCUGGAAAGCUGAUGAGUACCGUGUGGGAUCGCCCCUGAGACCUCCAGAUAAAUGCCCUCCAGAGCAGGGCCCAGUGCCCCUGUGUCCAGCCCGCCCCCUUGGCGGGGUCUCCCUGCCUCUCUCUCCCCUGAGCUCCGAGCGCCCCUCUUUUGCCUCUGUAACUUGUUCCUGAGCCCAUUUCCUGCACGCUCACUCCUUCUACCUCUGUGACCUUCCAAAUACAC
This is a long non-coding RNA of Phyllostomus hastatus (greater spear-nosed bat), 3783 nucleotides long. RefSeq lists it as uncharacterized. The transcript has 3 exons. Lineage: Eukaryota; Metazoa; Chordata; Mammalia; Chiroptera; Phyllostomidae. The record is from RefSeq and is a predicted model, not a curated record.